This 387-nucleotide ribosomal RNA is filed under the name uncultured bacterium. Its description in RNAcentral is "bacterial SSU rRNA". It matches the Rfam family "Bacterial small subunit ribosomal RNA", at positions 28 to 412 of the family's 1533-position model. The record is from RNAcentral.
GAUGAACGCUAGCGGCAGGCUUAAUACAUGCAAGUCGAGGGGCAGCGGGGGUAGCAAUACCUGCCGGCGACCGGCAAACGGGUGCGGAACACGUACACAACCUUCCUUUAAGUGGGGGAUAGCCCAGAGAAAUUUGGAUUAAUACCCCGUAACAUUAUGAGAUGGCAUCAUUUUAUAAUUAAGGCUCCGGCGCUUGAAGAUGGGUGUGCGUCUGAUUAGGUAGUUGGUGCGGGAACGGCCCACCAAGCCAACGAUCAGUAACUGGUGUGAGAGCACGACCAGUCACACGGGCACUGAGACACGGGCCCGACUCCUACGGGAGGCAGCAGUAAGGAAUAUUGGUCAAUGGACGCAAGUCUGAACCAGCCAUGCCGCGUGGAGGAUGAA